GCCCUUAGAGUUUGAUCCUGGCUCAGAACGAACGCUGGCGGCAGGCUUAACACAUGCAAGUCGAACGAGAAAGCACCUUCGGGUGCGAGUAUAGUGGCGAACGGGUUAGUAACGCGUGGGAACAUACACAGCACUGGGGGAUAACCAUUGGAAACGAUGGCUAAUACCGCAUACGCCCUACGGGGGAAAGAUUUAUUGGUGUUGGAUUGGCCCGCGUUAGAUUAGUUUGUUGGUGAGGUAAUGGCUCACCAAGGCUACGAUCUAUAGCUGGUUUGAGAGGAUGAUCAGCAACACUGGAACUGAGACACGGUCCAGACUCCUACGGGAGGCAGCAGUGGGGAAUAUUGCACAAUGGGGGAAACCCUGAUGCAGCCAUGCCGCGUGAGUGAAGAAGGCCUUAGGGUUGUAAAGCUCUUUCAGAUGUGAGGAUGAUGACGAUAACAUCAAAAGAAGCUCCGGCUAACUUCGUGCCAGCAGCCGCGGUAAUAAGGGCG
This 494-nucleotide ribosomal RNA is filed under the name uncultured bacterium. Its description in RNAcentral is "bacterial SSU rRNA". It matches the Rfam family "Bacterial small subunit ribosomal RNA", at positions 1 to 534 of the family's 1533-position model. The record is from RNAcentral.